GCCAGGCAUGGUGGCUCACGCCUGUAAUCCCAGCACUUUGGGAGGCUGAGGCGGGUGGAUCACCUGAGGUCAGGAGUUCGAGACCAGCCUGGCCAACAUGGUGAAACCCCGUCUCUA
Molecule: non-coding RNA, 117 nt
Filed under: Homo sapiens (human)
Lineage: Eukaryota; Metazoa; Chordata; Mammalia; Primates; Hominidae
Source: Rfam by way of RNAcentral